This 497-nucleotide ribosomal RNA is filed under the name uncultured bacterium. RNAcentral describes it as "partial 16S ribosomal RNA". It matches the Rfam family "Bacterial small subunit ribosomal RNA", at positions 28 to 507 of the family's 1533-position model. The record is from RNAcentral.
GAUGAACGCUGGCGGCGUGCCUAAUACAUGCAAGUCGAGCGAAUGGACGAGAAGCUUGCUUCUCUGAUGUUAGCGGCGGACGGGUGAGUAACACGUGGAUAACCUACCUAUAAGACUGGGAUAACUUCGGGAAACCGUAGCUAAUACCGGAUAAUAUUUUGAACCGCAUGGUUCAAAAGUGAAAGACGGUCUUGCUGUCACUUAUAGAUGGAUCCGCGCUGCAUUAGCUAGUUGGUAAGGUAACGGCUUACCAAGGCAACGAUGCAUAGCCGACCUGAGAGGGUGAUCGGCCACACUGGAACUGAGACACGGUCCAGACUCCUACGGGAGGCAGCAGUAGGGAAUCUUCCGCAAUGGGCGAAAGCCUGACGGAGCAACGCCGCGUGAGUGAUGAAGGUCUUCGGAUCGUAAAACUCUGUUAUUAGGGAAGAACAUAUGUGUAAGUAACUGUGCACAUCUUGACGGUACCUAAUCAGAAAGCCACGGCUAACUACGUG